RNA transcript from Hemicordylus capensis (graceful crag lizard), 1523 nucleotides. It is a transcript of the gene named SREBF pathway regulator in golgi 1, with no coding region annotated. The record is from RefSeq and is a predicted model, not a curated record. The transcript is spliced from 6 exons. Lineage: Eukaryota; Metazoa; Chordata; Lepidosauria; Squamata; Cordylidae.
UGCCGGAUCCGGCCUCCAUGGUGCAGCUGCUGGCCCUGGUGUGGCGGAGGCUGCUGCGCAAGCGCUGGGUGCUGGGGGUCGUCUUCGGGCUCUCGCUCAUCUAUUUCCUCAGCAGCACCUUCAAGCAGGAAGAGAGAGCAGUGCAGGAUCGGAACGUCCCCAAAGCGCCCGACGAAGACCACCCCAUUGCGUGGAAAGUGCAGUUCAACGCCGCGAACGGCAGCCGGCCGAGUAACCAGUGCCGGAAUUCGGUCCAGGGGAAGCUGUUGAUCACAGAUGAGCUGGGUUACAUCUGUGAAAGGAAGGACUUGCUGGUGAAUGGCUGUUGUGACGUGGACGCGCCCAGCGCAAAGCUGUACAGCUGUGAGAGCUGUUUGGGAAACGGAUGUUGCAGCAUCUACGAGGCCUGCGUCUCCUGCUGCUUACAGCCCAACAAGCAACGGCUCCUGGAACGUUUUCUGAACCGAGCAGGAGUUUCUUUCCGGAACCUCUUCAUGGCCGUGGAAGAUCACUUUGAGCUGUGCCUGGCCAAGUGCAGGACCUCCUCGCAGAGCGUGCAACAUGAAAACACCUACCGGGACCCCAUUGCAAAAUACUGCUACGGGGAAUUCCCCCCAGAGCUCCUGCCGGUGUGAAAGCAGCAAGAAGCUGGAGGCGACGCGAGAGAAAUGAAGUGGAGAUGCUGUCGGGGAAGGAGCGAAAUCAGGGUGGUGUGCGUGGAUGGCUUAGGGAACUUCUACCGCAGAUCUACUCCAAAGAUGCCCAGAAAGGCAAGCCCUUGCAGAAAUAAAAUGCCUUUCCUUCUCCCUGCAAAGCGGGGUAAAAGUGAUGGCGAUCCUCCGGGCCCUGGAGCCAGUGUUUGGGUGCGUAGGCCUGAUCGGCCAGGUCCUGUAUUCAAAACAUGCACGUAGACAUUAAGUGAGUCUCUCCAUAGCUUGUGGACCAUUUGGACUGACAACCACCGCAGUGAAGAUGGAUUGCUGCCCCCCCGGAGAAUCAUGCCUGGCUCCCUGGCUCUGUACCUUUUGCUGCAAACUCUUUCUGGAAUGCCAGAGCCCGGUUGAGUGAGCACCGCCAUCAAUCAAAAUGCCGCCACUUAGCUGGCAGAAGUGAUUUCAUUAAUGCGCUGUGCAAACACCCUCACCCCCCACCUGACUGCUAAUCAUCCUCUAUCAGCGGGAGGAAAAGAUGCAGGCUGGUCUGCUUACAGCUACCCAGGAGCAACCAGUGCUGACCGUGGUUAAUUGCCAUGAUGAGGCAGACAGGCCUGUCGCUCACUUUUAAUCUGUGCGGUCCCCGCAAACCGAGAGGCGCAGGUGCUUUCACUGCAUCGCGGCAAAGAUGAUCUCGUGUUGGGCUGAGAUCAUUUGUCUUGCGGAACUGACAGCAUCUCACCACCUACGUAGGCCCGUAAGCCAGGGGGACAAGGUGGAGUGGAUCCAUUCGGGUACUUCAUCGUCGGACGGAGCUGCAUGUAGCUAUGCCCGGCCGCUGGGCGGAUCUGAAUAAAGCAGCUAAAUGUG